This 253-nucleotide ribosomal RNA is filed under the name uncultured bacterium. Its description in RNAcentral is "partial 16S ribosomal RNA". It matches the Rfam family "Bacterial small subunit ribosomal RNA", at positions 524 to 776 of the family's 1533-position model. The record is from RNAcentral.
UACAGAGGUGGCAAGCGUUGUUCGGAAUUACUGGGCGUAAAGGGCGCGUAGGCGGCCUUCUAAGUCAGACGUGAAAUUCCCCGGCUUAACCUGGGAACUGCGUCUGAUACUGGGAGGCUUGAGUAUGGGAGAGGGAUGUGGAAUUCCGGGUGUAGUGGUGAAAUGCGUAGAGAUCCGGAGGAACCCCAGAGGCGAAGGCGGCGUCCUGGCCCAUUUCUGACGUUCAGACAUGACAGCAUGGGGAGCGAACGGG